This is a non-coding RNA of Pantherophis guttatus, 335 nucleotides long. The record is from RefSeq and is a predicted model, not a curated record. NCBI's taxonomy places the organism in Eukaryota, Metazoa, Chordata, Lepidosauria, Squamata, Colubridae.
GCGCGAGUCCCUACCGUGAGCACCAGUUAGUCCAUAGUCAUCUCUUUAUUUUGCUCGCCGUGCCACACACACACACACACACAAACGGCCUCGUCUCGGGCGAAUGAACGCGCUCACGUUACAAUGGAAAGAAAAACACCGGCUGUAUGUGUACGCGCAUGUGCGUGCGCGCUGGAAGAAGCCUCUGACUGAACAUACGUGCUGAAGAAUGCCCAUUUUUUUCGUCGAAGCUUUUCAUAAAUAACAUCUGAUUCUGAUACACCCCAAAGCCUUAUUCAAAGGGCUUAUUAAGAUUGGUUCACGCUCUCCAUUGAAUAAAACAAUUUUGUCUGGAA